Cuculus canorus (common cuckoo) is the source of this 1176-nucleotide RNA transcript. It is a transcript of the gene named microtubule interacting and trafficking domain containing 1, with no coding region annotated. Lineage: Eukaryota; Metazoa; Chordata; Aves; Cuculiformes; Cuculidae. The record is from RefSeq and is a predicted model, not a curated record. The transcript has 8 exons.
CGUCCCCUCUCCAGUUUCGUUUCCCGGCUGAGGCGUUCAUCCCUUUCCUCCCACCCCCCCGUUCCCGUCCCGGUGCCGAUGUCGCGGGCGAGUGGCGACGGCACCGCCGCGUUGGAGCGGGCCGGGGCAGAGACGGUGAAGCGGGCGGUGGAGCUGGACCGAGCGUCCCGGUUUCAGGAGUCGCUGGUGUGUUAUCAGGAGGGCAUCGACCUCCUGCUGCAGGUGGUGAAAGCCACGAAAGAUGAGGCAAAAAAGCACCGUUACCGUCAGAAAAUAUCCGAGUACAUGACCAGAGCUGAAGACAUUAAAAGACACAUUGAAAAAGAGAAGCAAGAUGGCAAAUACCAUAAACAAAUCAGGAUAGAGGAAAAUGCAACAGGUUUUGGCUAUGAGAAGCUUUUCCAAGAGUACCUCACUGAGAUUGUUUCUGAAGUUUGGGUAGAGGACCCGUACAUUAGGCAUGUUCAUCAGUUGUAUAACUUCCUACGAUUCUGCGAGAUGCUAGUUAAGGGGCCGUGCAAAGUGAAAACAAUCCACCUCCUCACUUCCUAUGAUGAAGGCAGCGGGAAGACUCAACAGAUAAAUGGCUUGGAAGAAAUACAACAAUCAUUGAGGAAUUAUGGAGUAACGCUGGAUAUUGCAUUUUCCUCUUCAAUACAUGAUCGAGAAAUUAGAUUCAACAAUGGAUGGAUGAUUAAGAUUGGAAGGGGUCUUGAUUAUUUUAAGAAACCACAGGUAGUCAGGUCAUCACCUGGAUUAUGCAGCCAGGACUAUGCCUCCUGGCAUUGUCUGUGAUGAGCUGGACGUCAGCUUAAGCCACCUUCCCAGCUGGAGUCUGCUGAGUGUCCUUGAGCCCUACAGUGUGACUGCCAGUCUUAGCCAAGGGCUGGAUUUGCCCCAGUUGACUGCUCUCCUUAACUAAAGUUAUUCCGUGACAGAAUUUGGUGCCAUGACUUGGAUUCACGUGUCCUGCUUCACCUGGGACAACCACAGAUUAAACCCCCUUGGUGUGACUUCUAAAGGUAAGAGACCUUCUGAAACCCAUACUGGAGUUUCAGCUGAGGGUCAUCUAUAUGGACAACAAGGACACUGGAAGUCAGAAUAUCCUUACAGGCCUAAUUGUGAGUCCUUUAAGUCCAGCAGGAUUCAGUCACCCUUCAGUCUCUUCCUUCAUAU